RNAcentral lists this ribosomal RNA (440 nucleotides) under uncultured bacterium. RNAcentral describes it as "partial 16S ribosomal RNA". It matches the Rfam family "Bacterial small subunit ribosomal RNA", at positions 338 to 795 of the family's 1533-position model. The record is from RNAcentral.
CCUACGGGAUGCAGCAGUGGGGAAUAUUGGGCAAUGGACGGAACCCUGAUCCAGCAACGCCGCGUGAGUGAAGAAGCGUUUCGGCGCGUAAAGCCCUAUCGGCAGGGAAGAAGGUGACUGUACCUGACCAAUUAACACCGUGAAAAUAUGUGCCAGCAGCCGCAGGAAUAAGGAGGGGGCAGGAGUUAGCCGGAUUUACUGGUGGUAAAGGGGGUGCAGACGGCACUGCAAGUCAGGAGUGAAAGCCCGGGGCCCAACCCAGAGACUGCUUUUGGUACUUUAUGGCUGGAGUACAGGAGGGGCAGGCGGAAUUCCUAGUGUAGCGGUGAAAUGCGUAGAUAUUAGGAGGAACACCGGUGGCGAAGGCGGCCUGCUGGACUGUGACUGACGUUGAGGCCCGAAGGCGUGGGGAGCAAACAGGAUUAGAUACCCCUGUAGUC